UCCUGGCUCAGAACGAACGCUGGCGGCAGGCCUAAUACAUGCAAGUCGAGCGCGCCCUUCGGGGUGAGCGGCGGACGGGUGAGUAACGCGUGGGAAUAUGCCCUUCUCUAAGGAAUAGCCUCUGGAAACGGAGAGUAAUACCUUAUACGCCCUUUGGGGGAAAGAUUUAUCGGAGAAGGAUUAGCCCGCGUUAGAUUAGGUAGUUGGUGGGGUAAUGGCCUACCAAGCCUACGAUCUAUAGCUGGUUUGAGAGGAUGAUCAGCCACACUGGGACUGAGACACGGCCCAGACUCCUACGGGAGGCAGCAGUAGGGAAUCUUAGACAAUGGGGGCAACCCUGAUCUAGCCAUGCCGCGUGUGUGAUGAAGGCCCUAGGGUCGUAAAGCACUUUCGCCAGAGAUGAUAAUGACAGUAUCUGGUAAAGAAACCCCGGCUAACUCCGUGCCAGCAGCCGCGGUAAUACGGAGGGGGUUAGCGUUGUUCGGAAUUACUGGGCGUAAAGCGCACGUAGGCGGAUUAGUAAGUUAGAGGUGAAAUCCCAGGGCUCAACCCUGGAACUGCCUUUAAUACUGCUAGUCUUGAGUUCGAGAGAGGUAAGUGGAAUUCCGAGUGUAGAGGUGAAAUUCGUAGAUAUUCGGAGGAACACCAGUGGCGAAGGCGGCUUACUGGCUCGAUACUGACGCUGAGGUGCGAAAGUGUGGGGAGCAAACAGGAUUAGA
RNAcentral lists this ribosomal RNA (719 nucleotides) under uncultured Paracoccaceae bacterium. RNAcentral's name for it is "bacterial SSU rRNA". It matches the Rfam family "Bacterial small subunit ribosomal RNA", at positions 17 to 782 of the family's 1533-position model. The record is from RNAcentral. Lineage: Bacteria; Pseudomonadati; Pseudomonadota; Alphaproteobacteria; Rhodobacterales; Paracoccaceae.